UACAGAGGGGGCAAGCGUUGUUCGGAAUUACUGGGCGUAAAGGGCGCGUAGGCGGCCUGUUAAGUCGAACGUGAAAUCCCCGGGCUCAACCCGGGAACUGCGUCCGAUACUGGCAGGCUUGAAUCCGGGAGAGGGAUGCGGAAUUCCAGGUGUAGCGGUGAAAUGCGUAGAGAUUGGGAAGAACAUCCGUGGCGAAAGCGCUCUGCUGGACUGCAACUGACAUUGAGGGACGAAAGCUAGGGGAGCGAAUGGG
Molecule: ribosomal RNA, 253 nt
Filed under: uncultured bacterium
Lineage: Bacteria
Description: partial 16S ribosomal RNA
Rfam family: Bacterial small subunit ribosomal RNA
Source: RNAcentral